ACGGACGAAGAUUAAAAGGGAAUCGGGUGUAAAUCCCGGACAGUCCCGCUGCUGUGAAGCUCUAUAUAACAUCUUAUCAAUAAACCAAUUACAAACCACUGACGGAAAAAGAAACGUCGGGAAGGUCCGAUAAGAUGUAGAGUCAGUCAGAAGACCUGCCAUUCAAUGA
Molecule: non-coding RNA, 169 nt
Filed under: Bacteroides fragilis
Lineage: Bacteria; Pseudomonadati; Bacteroidota; Bacteroidia; Bacteroidales; Bacteroidaceae
Source: RNAcentral